Molecule: ribosomal RNA, 498 nt
Filed under: uncultured bacterium
Lineage: Bacteria
Description: partial 16S ribosomal RNA
Rfam family: Bacterial small subunit ribosomal RNA
Source: RNAcentral
GAUGAACGCUAGCGGCAGGCCUAAUACAUGCAAGUCGAGGGAGAAUGUUGGAUUCGUCUGACAUGAAACCGGCGCACGGGUGCGUAACACGUAUGCAACCUACCUUUAACUGGGGUAUAGCUCAGAGAAAUCUGAAUUAAUCCCCCAUAAGACUACGACAUGGCAUCAUGAUGUAGUUAAAGCUCCGGCGGUUAAGGAUGGGCAUGCGGUACAUUAGCUAGCUGGUGAGGUAAUGGCUCACCAAGGCUACGAUGUAUAGGGGGUCUGAGAGGAUGCGCCCCCACACUGGGACUGGGACACGAACCAGACUCCUGCGGGAGGCAGCAGUAGGGAAGAUUGGUCAAUGGACGCAAGUCUGAACCAGCCAUGCCGCGUGAAGGAUGAAGGCCCUAUGGGUCGUAAACUUCUUUUAUUAGGGAAGAAAAAACGGAAUGCGUCCUGUACUGACGGUACUUAAUGAAUAAGGAUCGGCUAACUUCGUGCCAGCCGCCGCAGUAA